GUGUCAGCAGCCGCGGUAAGACGAACUGUCCUAACGUUGUUCGGAAUCACUGGGCUUAAAGGGCGCGUAGGCGGUCCGACAAGUCGGGGGUGAAAUCCUGCAGCUUAACUGCAGAAGUGCCUUCGAUACUGUCGGUCUUGAGGGAGAUAGGGGUGUGCGGAACUUCCAGUGGAGCGGUGAAAUGCGUUGAUAUUGGAAGGAACGCCGGAGGCGAAAGCGGCGCACUGGAUCUCUACUGACGCUGAGGCGCGAAAGCCAGGGGAGCAAACGGGAUUAGAUACCCCUGUAGUCC
RNAcentral lists this ribosomal RNA (292 nucleotides) under uncultured bacterium. Its description in RNAcentral is "partial 16S ribosomal RNA". It matches the Rfam family "Bacterial small subunit ribosomal RNA", at positions 505 to 796 of the family's 1533-position model. The record is from RNAcentral.